Long non-coding RNA from Ictalurus punctatus (channel catfish), 1657 nucleotides. The record is from Ensembl. Lineage: Eukaryota; Metazoa; Chordata; Actinopteri; Siluriformes; Ictaluridae.
CGGAUGAAGGAAUUGAGACGCACUUUUAAACUCCACCUUUUCCACACACAUUUUCAUCUCGGAUACUGUUUAGUACGGAUAGCAUCCGAGUGUGACGCAGGUACAGCCGUGGAUCAUCACUGAACAGGAAGCAGGAAGUAAAAAAAUAAAUAAAAUAAUAAUAAUAAUCAACUGAGCAGGAAGGAGUCGUUCUUUUUUCAGGACUUUCUUUUCCUCCAAUCUUUAUUAUUCAUUUAUUUACUUUUCUGCUUUCCUUUCUUGUUUUGUUGCUGUUUGUACAUUUAUCUCUACAUUUUCUUUAAUCAUUUUAUUUUGUUGAUUUCUGUUGUUGUUGUUGUUGUCAUUUGCGUUUCCGUUAUUUUUCUUUCACACACUGUUACGUUUGUGUUCUAUGUGUUUGCUCUUUUACAUUUCUCUUUUCUGUGCAUUUUUUCAGUGAUUAUUUCACACAUUUUAUUCGGAUAUUCCUUGUUGUUCAGUUCGGUUGGUGUGUUUUGUCCUGGGUUUGUGGCGAGUGAAUGUGUAGGAGUGGGUUAGGGGUCACUACAGGUCACACAGUGUGUUAGUUUAUCUUUUACAGAAAGAAACGGGGGAUGAGGGCGCUGUAAGGCACAGUGUGUUAUACAGGAUCAGAGCAGCUAUAAUAAUCAUCACAACUUUGGGUUUAAACCAGCUGCUUUGGUUCAUUAUUCCACACACAACACAACACACACACACACACACACACACACACACACACACACAACACAAAGGCACUCUGUAUAUCUACACUGCAACUCAUUACUUAUCCAGGACAUGUUUGGUGUUGGUGUGUGAAGUGCUUUAACUUUGCCCUGGAGGUAAUGUUAAUGCUAAUAAGUGCAGCUAACAAUCAAAGGAAGCUCACGGCCUCCAGUUUAGUGUUUAAAUCUUCACACACUGCCUUUCAAACGACAUCAUUCAUCAAAGUCAAUCUGUACACCAGAAUAAGAUUGUAUUCAAAUAAAAUAUCAGAGUAAAUUACUUUCCUAAGUGAUAAAGUCGGAGUAAACAAUAAUAAUUAAUCAUUUACUCCUCUAAUAAACGAGGUUUUACAUCUAAGAGCGUCCACACACACACACACACACACACACACACACACACACACACACACACACACACACACACACACACGCACGCACACACACCACAGGUGUACAGUGUUAUGUUCCCUGAUAAAGUGCUCCUGUGUUUAAUAUAACAGACGCUCUUAUUUCUCUGUACCGUUACGUUCCUGUUUCUACGUUUAUUUCUAAGCAAAUAAUCAUCGAAUGUAAACGUCUCGAUUGUCUUGGUUUUUGUCUUCGCAGCUGAAGGUCGUGUCUCAUUUACACAGUGUUUAUAAAAGGCACCGAGCGCAGUCUAGAGGAAGGCUGCUUCAGUAUAAUGGGACAAGAGCAUUCCCAUUUGGUGCAUAGAGAUUACAGUGUAGUAACUAGGGAUUAGGGUACACACGUCUGGGGUCAAACACUGCCUGAUUCAAUACACCGGUAUUAGAGUUAGGGUUUAGGGUACUGAAUUCAAGAGUACGGGAGAAAACACAGUCCUAGAGGAAGGCUGCUGCAGUGAAAUGGGACAAGACCUGGUGCGUAAGGAUUAAGCACAGCAAGUAGUAGUGUUCAACGUACAAAAUUCAGUG